Molecule: long non-coding RNA, 1009 nt
Organism: Oryzias melastigma (Indian medaka)
Lineage: Eukaryota; Metazoa; Chordata; Actinopteri; Beloniformes; Adrianichthyidae
Exons: 3
Source: RefSeq, a predicted model, not a curated record
GUUGAAGACCUCAGUAAUGUUCUCAUAGCAGUCAAGCUGCACGCAAGGAACUCGUACUUAUCACUUGAACAGCACUAAUGGGACUCAUGCAGAGUGCUCAAGGAUCCAUCCAUAAGGGCAGUUGGGACUAACGCUGGUCCGUCUGCGUGCAUCUCCAUUGUGAGAGUCCGUGUCACGACCAUCAGUUAGUUCACAUUGUCUCCGUCUGGAGCCCCAGAGAACAUUCUGUUUUGGUGUCAACACGAUGGAGACACACCGCAGAUGGACUGAGCCCCUGGUUGUCAGGUCAUCUGCAUCGCCACCUUUUGUUGUUGUGUUUUUUUCACACUUUGGAUUUAUUGAUCCAGUUUUAUUUUCUGCUAUCAAGCCUUAACUCCUGCAUUUUGGGUUCCUCCCCACCAGCUCCUGACAGUAAACAGGCUGAACAGAUCCCUCAGUAUCUGUGACCUGACUCCCCCAUGUUAUUCAACAAAAGCUUUAGUAAGAUGUUGCUUUCAGUUUUAUUUUCUCACUUUUGCUUGUUUUUUACUUAUACUAGAAACAUCUUAUUCUUUAUUGAAUCUGACCAAAACCACAUUUACCCUGAGGUGACAGUAUGGAUGAUGGCUUCUGGAUACAUUCAGCAGUUCUUGAGAACUUUCUGCAUCAUCUGAGGGUUUUUUGUGUCAGUCUUUUCUGUGCAUCAACAUUUCAUUUUCUUGUCCUAUUCAGCUCAUUGUUGGUGGGUUUUGUGUGGGUGUUUGGGCAGUAUAUACAUGUGGUGUUAAUAGAAGUUUUUACCGUGUUUACCGUCAACAUCCCAAGGGUCACGGGUGAUGGUCAAAUACUUUGUUGUUACUGAAUUCUCUGGCAGCCUUGGUACAGCUCAGCUAGGUAAUAUUGUUCAAGGUGUAUACUGUCAUGUCUAGUACAACUUUGGGUUUUUUAACACGACAUCUAUUUUCAACCAGUCAAUUGAAUAAAAACAUUCAUAUCCUGGCUUCUUCUCCUCGUGCAUGUCGUGGUUUUU